RNAcentral lists this ribosomal RNA (444 nucleotides) under uncultured bacterium. Its description in RNAcentral is "bacterial LSU rRNA". It matches the Rfam family "Bacterial large subunit ribosomal RNA", at positions 897 to 1346 of the family's 2925-position model. The record is from RNAcentral.
CCGCCAUAGCAAACUCCGAAUACCGGCAAGUGCGAUCUACCCCGCCAUAGCAAACUCCGAAUACCGGCAAGUGCGAGCGUGGGAGACAGACAUCGGGUGCUAACGUCCGGUGUCAAGAGGGAAACAACCCAGACCGCCAGCUAAGGUCCCCAAGCCAUGGUUAAGUGGAAAACGAGGUGGGAAGGCAUAGACAGUCAGGAGGUUGGCUUAGAAGCAGCCACCCUUUAAAGAAAGCGUAAUAGCUCACUGAUCGAGUCGUCCUGCGCGGAAGAUGUAACGGGGCUCAAACCAUGCACCGAAGCUGCGGAUAUCCGUAAGGAUAUGGUAGGAGAGCGUUCUCUAGGCCUGCGAAGGUGGGGUGUAAACCCUGCUGGAGGUAUGAGAAGUGCGAAUGCUGACAUGAGUAGCGAUAAAGCGGGUGAAAGGCCCGCUCGCCGAAAGCCC